CGGGGCGUGGCGCAGCCCGGUAGCGCGCUUCAAUGGGGUUGAAGAGGUCGCUGGUUCGAAUCCAGUCGCCCCGA
Molecule: transfer RNA, 74 nt
Filed under: Chloroflexota bacterium
Lineage: Bacteria; Bacillati; Chloroflexota
Also listed under: 1 other name
Description: Chloroflexi bacterium (marine sediment metagenome) tRNA-Pro
Rfam family: tRNA
About the family: Transfer RNA (tRNA) molecules are approximately 80 nucleotides in length. Their secondary structure includes four short double-helical elements and three loops (D, anti-codon, and T loops). Further hydrogen bonds mediate the characteristic L-shaped molecular structure. tRNAs have two regions of fundamental functional importance: the anti-codon, which is responsible for specific mRNA codon recognition, and the 3' end, to which the tRNAs corresponding amino acid is attached (by aminoacyl-tRNA synthetases). tRNAs cope with the degeneracy of the genetic code in two manners: having more than one tRNA (with a specific anti-codon) for a particular amino acid; and 'wobble' base-pairing, i.e. permitting non-standard base-pairing at the 3rd anti-codon position.
Source: RNAcentral